RNAcentral lists this ribosomal RNA (464 nucleotides) under uncultured bacterium. RNAcentral's name for it is "partial 16S ribosomal RNA". It matches the Rfam family "Bacterial small subunit ribosomal RNA", at positions 28 to 507 of the family's 1533-position model. The record is from RNAcentral.
GACGAACGCUGGCGGCGUGCUUAACACAUGCAAGUCGAACGGUAAGGCCCCAGCUUGCUGGGGUACACGAGUGGCGAACGGGUGAGUAACACGUGGGUGACCUGCCCCGCACUUCGGGAUAAGCCUGGGAAACUGGGUCUAAUACCGGAUAGGACCGCACCGUGAGGGUGUGGUGGAAAGUUUUUCGGUGUGGGAUGGGCCCGCGGCCUAUCAGCUUGUUGGUGGGGUAAUGGCCUACCAAGGCGGCGACGGGUAGCCGGCCUGAGAGGGUGGACGGCCACAUUGGGACUGAGACACGGCCCAGACUCCUACGGGUGGCAGCAGUGGGGAAUAUUGCACAAUGGGCGGAAGCCUGAUGCAGCGACGCCGCGUGGGGGAUGACGGCCUUCGGGUUGUAAACUCCUUUCACCAUCGACGAAGGUUUUCUGACGGUAGAUGGAGAAGAAGCACCGGCUAACUACGUG